This 198-nucleotide microRNA precursor is filed under the name Oryza nivara. Its description in RNAcentral is "MIR812 microRNA precursor family". It matches the Rfam family "MIR812 microRNA precursor family". Lineage: Eukaryota; Viridiplantae; Streptophyta; Magnoliopsida; Poales; Poaceae. The record is from Rfam by way of RNAcentral.
AAAAAGUGGUUUUCGUGUCCAACAUUUGAUUGUUCGUCUUAUUUGAAAAAAUUAUAAAAAAAAAUAAAAAGAUAAGUCAUGCAUAAAGUAUUAAUUAUGUUUUAUCAUCUAACAACAAUGAAAAUACUAAUUAUAAAAAAAUUUUAUAUAAGACGGAGAGUCAAACGUUGGCACGGAAACCCAGGGUUUGCCCUUUUU